CACACUUCCUCCAACAAGGCCACACCUACUCCAACAAAGUCACACCUCCUAGUAGUACCACUCUGUAUGAGCUUGUGGGAGCCAAAUACACUCAAACUACCACAGCAGGUCUCCUCAAAUAUGUCACCCUUGAUGACUCCUAGACACACUUUCUUUCCCUUCUCUGUCAUAGGACAAAGCCACCCUUCCCAAAGAUGCCUACCAGGAUGAGUGGGAAUCCUUUGGCAGACCAAAGUAAAACCCACUCCUUUUGUGAGGCUGGGAAUCUUCUACCCAGAGGCAGGGGAUGGAUCCUGGCCACUUCCUCAUCAGUAUGCCUAAUGAAACUACAAGUCAGGUAGGUGCCUGGGGAACACUGUAUGAAUGGUCGUGGGAAGCUGGAAGUCCAGGUGACUGCACCCCCACCAGAAGGAUCUUCUUGUAGUGAUUCAAGAUCAAUCACUUGGGUUGAAUGACCCAAGGAAAACCAUCUUCCUUCUAUUUUCCAUUUAUUUCUCAAAGAGAAGAGUGUUCCCUCCCAACUAGAAAAUAGGAUGCCCUAUCUCAUCUUGAGGGUGGUGGAUUGACAUUUUCCCCUACACAUGACUUCCUUGAAAACAGGAAAUGUGUCUUUGUCCCUCUGCCCCAGCGUCUCCUGCUGGCAAACUGGAUGCUGAGCAUCCAGAUAAGCCUUUGUUCCCCAGGAAGGUUCACCUGCCUUAACUGGAGGAGAGGCCUUCCUCAUUAGUUUGCUCUCUGCCCCUCUAAGCUCAACCUACCACCUUUCCCUAGAAGGGUAGAGAAGGAAAUGCAGUCUAUUAGGAGUGGUGUAGCCCAGGGCUUCCUCCUGCACUUGUACCUCUUCAUCACAGACACUCUGGUCUUGUUUGCGCCUUCCCUGAAGAAGAGGGAGAGAGCGGACAAGAGGCCCAAACAGCAUGGCUGAUCUGCCCUUUCUUCUGCUGUCUCCCCUCUCCAUAAGCCACGCCACGACUGGAAAGUAGGCCUCAAGUGUCCCAGACUGGCAUCAAACAUGGUGCUUUGCCAAGAACAUCCUAAGCGUCUGACCUCCUGGUGGCUGGGAUCACAGGUGUGUGCUGCCGUUUCUCGUUUAUGUGAUGCUAGAUAGAAGCCCUGUUUUGUGAAUGUCAUAACCCUGGCCCCUAGCUGUUGUUCACAACCCACCUCCAUCCAAACGAUAAACACAAAAACCACUAUUCAGAAGCCACACAUACAUUCAUCCAAUCACUAAAGGUAAAUAGUCACUGCAGGAUCUAGAAGAGAGAGACAACUGAAGGGAGAAGGAGGUGGCCACUCAGCCUUUCCUGCUCCCAACAAGUUCUUUAUUGACUUUUGUUUUUGAGACAGAGUAUCACUGUGUAACCCAGGAAAGCCUAAAAUUUAGGAUCUUCUUACUGUAGCCUCCCAAGUGCACUAAUUACCAGCCACCACACCCAUCUGCUUCCAAGAACCUUGAAGCAACAUGGAUAGAUUAUGAGUGGUAGAAUGUAGACGCUUCAUGUGUGCCUGGAAGUAUAUCUUAGAGUUAGAGGAUAUGCUUAAUGAGAGUGAGGUCUUGGGUUCAAUCCCCAGCAUCAAAAACAGAAAACACAGAUGUGUACUCUCUAUACCCUCCUCUAAUACAUGUGGUCUUAGACAAGGUACAAGGCCACAGUCACACAAGCCUUCCCUGGUUUCUUCCUGCUGUGUCAUGUAAACACAUGUGCAAGCACCCAGUCUUGAUGUUCAUGGGCCCGCAGCUCCUUCUCACCAGGAGGGACAAAGUCUCCUACUCUUAGAACUUCUGCCCAUCAGUGGCUACUGCCUCUGCUGGCUCUACUCACCACCAUUGCUAUUCUUCCCUACUCAGAACCCACACCUUAACCAGUGACCUGGGGGUCCACCCCCAGCAUCUCAGGGGCCCACACUCACUGAUUGCUUCCAAGGGCACAAAAUAAAGGUCAUGGGGGACUGAGGGCCUGAGUAAUGCUCUCUCUGGGCAAUGUAUGUGUCUACCCAGAGUUGGACGACCUCUACAGAACAAGCAAUGCUAAUUCCCCAAGGCCCAGCCAUUGGGAUGGCUUCCAGAGCAGCAGGCCACUGGCCUGCAACCCCCAGCUGGCUACCAAAAGUGAUAGUGAGGGUGGAAACAGACAUGUUGUCUGGGGAGAGAAAUGUAGCAAUGACUUCCAAAACUACAGAUGCCUACGCCUUGUUUAUAUAUAGCAAUUCUGUUCACAGACACGUUUACAAAUACAUUUACACAGGUGUGAAAGGACUGGGGAGCUAAUUAUACACUACAACAUCACCUAUUAAUAAAGACAGGAUGCAAAUCAGGUAUCCAUUAGUAGAUAGCUAAGACAGCUAGUUUUAUGUAUUAUCUCCAUUCAUAAAAGAAAUGGGCAUCUUUUGUGUGUUAAUCUAGAAGGACCAUAAGCUAGUUCCGUAUAGUUAUGUUAAAAUUUAAGAGUACAGGAUGAGGUAUAUUUGUGAGGGAAAAGGUGGUUAAACGUUUUUCUUCUUUUUUUUUUUCAAGACAGGGUUUCUCUGUACUAUUUUGGAUGCUGUCCUGGAACUCGCUCUGUAGACCAGGUUGGCCUCGAACUCACAGAGAUCCACCUGCCUCUGCCUCCUGAGUGCUGAGAUUAAAGGUGUGCGCCACCAACGAGAACGUUUUCCUACUGAGUUGUUUGUACAUCAAAUGUUAUUGGAAGAAUUAAUAAGAUCCAAUAGUA
Mesocricetus auratus (golden hamster) is the source of this 2714-nucleotide long non-coding RNA. RefSeq lists it as uncharacterized. Lineage: Eukaryota; Metazoa; Chordata; Mammalia; Rodentia; Cricetidae. The transcript has 2 exons. The record is from RefSeq and is a predicted model, not a curated record.